RNAcentral lists this ribosomal RNA (200 nucleotides) under uncultured bacterium. Its description in RNAcentral is "partial 16S ribosomal RNA". It matches the Rfam family "Bacterial small subunit ribosomal RNA", at positions 8 to 210 of the family's 1533-position model. The record is from RNAcentral.
AGAGUUUGAUCCUGGCUCAGGACGAACGCUGGCGGCGUGCUUAACACAUGCAAGUCGAGCGGUAGGGCCUUUCGGGGUACACGAGCGGCGAACGGGUGAGUAACACGUGGGUGAUCUGCCUCGUACUCUGGGAUAAGCCUGGGAAACUGGGUCUAAUACCGGAUAGGACUGCAGGGUGCAUGCCUUGUGGUGGAAAGAUU